Molecule: long non-coding RNA, 557 nt
Organism: Melopsittacus undulatus (budgerigar)
Lineage: Eukaryota; Metazoa; Chordata; Aves; Psittaciformes; Psittaculidae
Exons: 3
Source: RefSeq, a predicted model, not a curated record
UUGAAGGGAUAUCUGCCCAAUUAAAUAACCUGCAGGGCUGGAAUUGAGAAUCAAUGUGGCAUGAACGAUGAGCUUUGGACUGCCAACGCUGAACACUAAAUCCAUUGCAGCCUCUGCUUUAACAAAGAGAGAAGGAUGGGGAGGAAUACUGCAGCCGGGAUUUCCCGGACUGCACACAUGGUGUUGAGAGGCAGGAGGUGGCUCAGCAUCACUGUCCUGUGCUCUGGGACACAACCAAGGCAUAUGGGAUCUUCAGAGAUCUUCACUGCUCAGGAUGUAUCACUCGCUGGCAACGCUGGGACCACCCUACUCAAGGGAGCCACCAAGGCAGAGUGCACCUUCUGUGGAAGUCCAAUCCCAUCAGCUGGGCCUCUGUCCAGCAGUGAUUAAAGGGUCUUUCCAAGCCCACCUGAGGAUGUGUGCCCACAUCGUUCCUCUUCUCAUCACCUCUAUGGACAUCCAGCGUUGAGUUGGAGCUUGGGUUAUUAAGACCUUAUGUAGAGAGUGAAGCUGCUCCCACAUAUGUGUUCCUUUCCUCUACCUAUUUGCAGCUGUUA